RNAcentral lists this transfer RNA (68 nucleotides) under Ventrifossa garmani (Sagami grenadier). RNAcentral describes it as "tRNA-Gly". It matches the Rfam family "tRNA". From Rfam's summary of the family: Transfer RNA (tRNA) molecules are approximately 80 nucleotides in length. Their secondary structure includes four short double-helical elements and three loops (D, anti-codon, and T loops). The record is from RNAcentral. Lineage: Eukaryota; Metazoa; Chordata; Actinopteri; Gadiformes; Macrouridae.
AUCUUUUUAGUAUAGAAAUAUGUGAGGCUUCCAACCUUGAGACCUUGGUGAAAGCCCAAGAAAAGAUA